This 115-nucleotide non-coding RNA is filed under the name Phaseolus vulgaris (common bean). Its description in RNAcentral is "Bacterial small subunit ribosomal RNA". It matches the Rfam family "Bacterial small subunit ribosomal RNA", at positions 756 to 869 of the family's 1533-position model. The record is from Rfam by way of RNAcentral. Lineage: Eukaryota; Viridiplantae; Streptophyta; Magnoliopsida; Fabales; Fabaceae.
AAUGCUUAGGGAACGAAUAAGAUUAGAUACCCUAAUAGUGUUAGUCGUAAACGAUGGAUACUAAACGUUGUGUAUAUCGAUCAAUGCAAUGUUGUAGCUAACGCGUUAAGAAUUC